This 336-nucleotide ribosomal RNA is filed under the name Triticum aestivum (bread wheat). Its description in RNAcentral is "partial small subunit ribosomal RNA". The record is from RNAcentral. Lineage: Eukaryota; Viridiplantae; Streptophyta; Magnoliopsida; Poales; Poaceae.
AUGGAUCCGGGAGAUGCUCGUGGCAUCGACAUUCUGACAUCAAUCGCCGCCGAUCUGCAUUUGGAACCAAGAUCCAGAUCCGUAGUUGUCGAUGGUACCUCAUCCGAUCCGAUCUGCGGUGAAGGGCAAGCAGCCGAUGAACCUAAAUUUGUCCAAGUCGAAUCGAAUCUUGUGCAAACCAGACUCCUGAAGGUUGGAAAUGCAGGAAGCUAUCCCGGGAUGGGCUUAAGGCAAGGGCAACAACAAGCAAGACGAGCUCUAUUCAAACAUGUCUGUAGAACUCUGAAGUACAUUGGAGAAGGUCUCACUGAAGAAACAUCUCUAUACACUACAUGA